This 265-nucleotide unclassified non-coding RNA is filed under the name Hevea brasiliensis (rubber tree). The record is from RNAcentral. Lineage: Eukaryota; Viridiplantae; Streptophyta; Magnoliopsida; Malpighiales; Euphorbiaceae.
GUUAAUUGAGUACAAUGAACAAAACUGCUACUCAGAUAUCAAUGAAAGAACUAUUUUCCUAGAUCCUCACAAGAAUAAGGAAAAUUGUUGAUAUCACUUUUUGCAGAAUGCUUGGAUUCAAAAUUUGGUGUAUCCAAGUAAUGUCAGAGAUGCAUUUAUGAGAUAAGGAGUCAAUAUUAAUUCAUAUAAGCCUCUGAAAAUGACCGCAAAUGGUACAUUGGUCAACAUUGUCAUUUCAUGACUCAUGAACCUUUUAGCUUUAAAC